Molecule: ribosomal RNA, 440 nt
Filed under: uncultured bacterium
Lineage: Bacteria
Description: partial 16S ribosomal RNA
Rfam family: Bacterial small subunit ribosomal RNA
Source: RNAcentral
CCUACGGGAGGCAGCAGUGGGGGAUAUUGCACAAUGGGGGGAACCCUGAUGCAGCGACGCCGCGUGGGUGAAGAAGCGCCUCGGCGCGUAAAGCCCUGUCAGCAGGGAAGAAAAUGACGGUACCUGAAGAAGAAGCCCCGGCUAACUACGUGCCAGCAGCCGCGGUAAUACGGAGGGGGCAAGCGUUAUCCGGAUUUACUGGGUGUAAAGGGGGCGGAGGCGGGGUUGCAAGACAGGAGUGAAAGCCCGGGGCUCAACCCCGGGACUGCACUUGAAACUGCGUGGCUGGAGUGUAGGAGGGGCAGGCGGAAUUCCUGGUGUAGCGGUGAAAUGCGUAGAUAUCAGGAGGAACACCGGUGGCGAAGGCGGCCUGCUGGACUGCAACUGACGUUGAGGCCCGAAAGCGUGGGGAGCAAACAGGAUUAGAUACCCUGGUAGUC